AUCUUUCUAGUACUAAUGUUAGUAUGAGUGACUUCCAAUCACCUGGCCCUGGUUAGACCCCAGGGAAAGAUA
RNAcentral lists this transfer RNA (72 nucleotides) under Electrona antarctica. Its description in RNAcentral is "tRNA-Gly". It matches the Rfam family "tRNA". Rfam says of the family: Transfer RNA (tRNA) molecules are approximately 80 nucleotides in length. The record is from RNAcentral. Lineage: Eukaryota; Metazoa; Chordata; Actinopteri; Myctophiformes; Myctophidae.